GGACUAAACCGGCAAACUGACUCUGCCACUGAUGGAUCACACUUGGGUCCACUGACCCAAAGGGGACACUCCAACCCAGAGACCAUCAAACCCAACCUCUCUACUGCUCUCGGGGCAACAAAAGAAUGAGAUGCACCAGGGUCCAUUAAAGCAUACACAUCUGAACAACCAAUGAUGAGAUUACCUGACACCACGGUGUUGGAUGUGUUCGCCUCCUGCUGUGUCAUAGUGAAGAUCCUAGCUGGAGCUG
This 250-nucleotide long non-coding RNA is filed under the name Manihot esculenta (cassava). RNAcentral describes it as "long non-coding RNA (MESC_LNC012527)". Lineage: Eukaryota; Viridiplantae; Streptophyta; Magnoliopsida; Malpighiales; Euphorbiaceae. The record is from RNAcentral.